This 254-nucleotide ribosomal RNA is filed under the name uncultured bacterium. RNAcentral's name for it is "partial 16S ribosomal RNA". It matches the Rfam family "Bacterial small subunit ribosomal RNA", at positions 29 to 311 of the family's 1533-position model. The record is from RNAcentral.
AACGAACGCUGGCGGCAGGCCUAACACAUGCAAGUCGAACGCCGUAGCAAUACGGAGUGGCAGACGGGUGAGUAACACGUGGGAACGUACCCUUCGGUUCGGAAUAACUCGGGGAAACUUGAGCUAAUACCGGAUACGUCCGAGAGGAGAAAGAUUUAUCGCCGAGGGAUCGGCCCGCGUCUGAUUAGCUUGUUGGUGAGGUAACAGCUCACCAAGGCGACGAUCAGUAGCUGGUCGAGAGGAUGAUCAGCCAC